Molecule: transfer RNA, 72 nt
Filed under: Candidatus Sungbacteria bacterium RIFCSPHIGHO2_01_FULL_54_26
Lineage: Bacteria; Candidatus Sungiibacteriota
Also listed under: 4 other names
Description: tRNA-Thr
Rfam family: tRNA
About the family: Transfer RNA (tRNA) molecules are approximately 80 nucleotides in length. Their secondary structure includes four short double-helical elements and three loops (D, anti-codon, and T loops).
Source: RNAcentral
GCCGGUGUAGCUCAGUGGCAGAGCGACUGUUUCGUAAACAGUAGGUCGCGAGUUCGAUCCUCGCCUCCGGCU